GAAAGAUGUCCAUGCUAAGCUUGGUGAUAAUAGAUAUGAAUGCAUCAAACAUGCCGUAGGUGUAGAGGGCAUAACGGCUGAUACACUGAGAGAUGCUGUGACGGAUAACUUCAUAUGCACUGGUGGUCGGGAACCUUUCAGAGAUCAUAUUGCAUGUACCGGUGACUCUGGAGGUGCUGUGUAUAAAAACUUUCAACAACGCACAAUACAGGUCGCAUUGGUCAGCUGGGGAAGCCAGCAAGUGUGCACAGCCAGUGGUGUUACAGAAUCAACGCCAAACUCCAGAGACUUUCACAUUAAUCUCUUCAGAGUUAUCCCUUUCC
This is a long non-coding RNA of Pundamilia nyererei, 323 nucleotides long. RefSeq lists it as uncharacterized. The transcript has 4 exons. The record is from RefSeq and is a predicted model, not a curated record. NCBI's taxonomy places the organism in Eukaryota, Metazoa, Chordata, Actinopteri, Cichliformes, Cichlidae.